Molecule: long non-coding RNA, 2072 nt
Organism: Macrobrachium nipponense
Lineage: Eukaryota; Metazoa; Arthropoda; Malacostraca; Decapoda; Palaemonidae
Exons: 3
Source: RefSeq, a predicted model, not a curated record
GGAACAAUCGUUUGCCGAUUGUUCCCUUGGUGGAUUGUUGCCUCCUUUGUUUUUGUUUUUUUAAUUGCUGGCGAGUUGACGUCUGUUGGAUGGCGUCAAACUUCGUCAGUCAGGUUCUGGAGGGCAGAACAACCAGUCAGGUUCUGGAGGGCAGAACAACUAGUCAGGUUCUGGAGGGCAGAACAACCAGUCAGGUUCUGGAGGGCAGAACGACCAGUCAGUCAGAGGCAGUCAGGUAUGAUUACCUGUGGACCAGCAUGAGGCAGCGCCAGGUACUGGAUACCUGGUUAUUUGGUUGAAGUCGUCGUAUGGAGUAUGACUUCGAGUUGGAGGUAGACAGCAUUGGCGUGUUUUCGUCGUCGAGAGGACGACGUGUCGAGUGCGACCUCACUGGGCAGCAGCAAUAGCGUGUUUUCGUCGUGAAGAGGACGACGUGUCGAGUGCGACCUCACUGGGCAGCAGCAGUGACGUGUUUUCGUCCAGUGGUCGAGGAGGACUUCCAUACUGCAUCUGAGGACGAGAUGGUUGUUGCAUCAACUCUGUCUUGAUCGUCCAGCAUUCGAGGAGGAUGUCCAUAUUGUCUCCAAGGACGAGGUGGUUGUCGUAUCGGCUCUAUCUUGAUCGUUCGGCAUUGGACAGUUGUCCUCAUUGUUUGAGGAAGUGUUCCCGUUUUUCUCUUAGUAUCAUUAUGCCGCUUUAGUGUUUAAUUCUCAUUUAUUAUUAUGCUGCUGUUUUUACAUUUAUUGUAAUCUUUAUUUCACUGCUUUUUCAAUGUUUUUGUGUUUUUGCCACCCAGAACCUUGACUCACUGUACAUAAUGUAUUUAACUCUUGUAAAUAAAUUAAUUUUAAGGUAACUUUUUUUUAUUUUGUUAUGCUCCUCCCUCCUUUGUUUGUCACCUGUCAUCAGUCAUUACAGCCCAAUUGCUUAUUAUUUUUAAGAACCUGUCGAUCUCGAGAGUCGAGAUCGUAAUAUUGGCGACCUUGCCAGGAUUGGUUCUGUUUUGGCUGACGGGGGUGUGGCAGCAUCGGGGAAGAGUAUUUUGUUUGUAAAAAAAAAAAUUAAUAAUGAUAAUUUUUUUUUUUCUGUUAGGUGGGUAGGUGUUAGGAACAAUCGUUUGCCGAUUGUUCCCUUGGUGGAUUGUUGCCUCCUUUGUUUUUGUUUUUUAAUUGCUGGCGAGUUGACGUCUGUUGGAUGGCGUCAAACUUCGUCAGUCAGGUUCUGGAGGGCAGAACAACCAGUCGGGUUCUGGAGGGCAGAACAACCAGUCAGGUUCUGGAGGGCAGAACAACCAGUCAGGUUCUGGAGGGCAGAACGACCAGUCAGUCAGAGGCAGUCAGGUAUGAUUACCUGUGGACCAGCAUGAGGCAGCGCCAGGUACUGGAUACCUGGUUAUUUGGUUGAAGUCGUCGUAUGGAGUAUGACUUCGAGUUGGAGGUAGACAGCAUUGGCGUGUUUUCGUCGUCGAGAGGACGACGUGUCGAGUGCGACCUCACUGGGCAGCAGCAAUAGCGUGUUUUCGUCGUGAAGAGGACGACGUGUCGAGUGCGACCUCACUGGGCAGCAGCAGUGACGUGUUUUCGUCCAGUGGUCGAGGAGGACUUCCAUACUGCAUCUGAGGACGAGAUGGUUGUUGCAUCAACUCUGUCUUGAUCGUCCAGCAUUCGAGGAGGAUGUCCAUAUUGUCUCCAAGGACGAGGUGGUUGUCGUAUCGGCUCUAUCUUGAUCGUUCGGCAUUGGACAGUUGUCCUCAUUGUUUGAGGAAGUGUUCCCGUUUUUCUCUUAGUAUCAUUAUGCCGCUUUAGUGUUUAAUUCUCAUUUAUUAUUAUGCUGCUGUUUUUACAUUUAUUGUAAUCUUUAUUUCACUGCUUUUUCAAUGUUUUUGUGUUUUUGCCACCCAGAACCUUGACUCACUGUACAUAAUGUAUUUAAUUCUUGUAAAUAAAUUAAUUUUAAGGUAACUUUUUUGAUUUUGUUAUGCUCCUCCCUCCUUUGUUUGUCACCUGUCAUCAGUCAUUACAGCCCAAUUGCUUAUUAUUUUUAAGAACCUGUCGAUCUCGAGAGUCGAGAUC